CAUAGAAUACUACGCAUAGGACAACCGGGCAGAGUAAAUAAAGACAGUAUGGUGCAAGGCUCAAAACGUAAAGAGUAAGCAAUAUGACUAAACGAUGUAAAAGAUAGGGUUAAGGAAGACAUCACCGAGCGUGCACCACUGUACCGACUUCGGAUCGAAGUACCCACCUGUAUAAAGCUGAAACGGUCUCACGAAGGCGGAGACGAAGCGACCGGACCUACGAAGGGUCCACCGGGUUAGAGUCUAACCCACAAACACAAUAACACGACCAUUCUCACACAAAUCCCAAAAUCAUAACCCCCCGAAAAUCGGUUUCUCAAACGCAACUACCGAACCAGCCGGAAGUCCCGGAAACCGUACCGAAACUCCACUGUCGCUCACCCGUCGUUUCCGAACCCUCGAGAAGACGCGGGUGACCAGCCAACAAGGCUCAGCGACGCUACAAUUAACCACGAGGCACCGUCGGAUGAAUUCCAAGUCGAAAACACGUUUUAUCGGCGGAUUUCGUCGAAAAACGCUCCGGAAAUGGCGAUUUGAUUUCCGCAAGGGCUUGGGGCCUUGGACGAUCAGUCCAGAAGUUAUCUUAAGCCUUAACCUGCUGCCAACAGCAGCCACGACGAAGCGAAAUGCAAAAGGAUCCCUAAUGGCCCAUGAAAUCACAUUAUUUUAUGUGAUUUCAUGGCUCUAACGGGUCGUACCAGCAAACUAGGGAUCUAUGG
Molecule: long non-coding RNA, 719 nt
Filed under: Ananas comosus (pineapple)
Lineage: Eukaryota; Viridiplantae; Streptophyta; Magnoliopsida; Poales; Bromeliaceae
Description: long non-coding RNA (ACOM_LNC036996)
Source: RNAcentral